CACACACACACACACACACACACACACACACACACACACACACACACACACACACACAAUGGGCUUAUGUUAUAAUAUUCAUACACACAGCAUUCUAAGAUACAACUAUAGCCAUCAAACUGUUUGCCAUAAAUUAAACUGGAGGUUAUACAAAUGAAGUUAACCAUGAGGAUAUGAUAUAUGUAUAAUACAAUAUAUUAAAAAAAAAAAAUCAUAUUAGUCUAAUUUUUGAAGCUCUCCGCAUUGAACUCUGGAAUGUCCCAGUGUCCCUGAACGCGCCACGGUCAAAUUGAACUGCUCAACGUCUACCAACAGCAGUUCCUUUGAGAAGAAGACUGGUCCAUCGUUGUUCCUGUUUCUCCUCUCCCAUCCCACCCCACCCCACCCUGGAA
Molecule: long non-coding RNA, 392 nt
Organism: Siniperca chuatsi (mandarin fish)
Lineage: Eukaryota; Metazoa; Chordata; Actinopteri; Centrarchiformes; Sinipercidae
Exons: 2
Source: RefSeq, a predicted model, not a curated record